This 291-nucleotide unclassified non-coding RNA is filed under the name Hevea brasiliensis (rubber tree). Lineage: Eukaryota; Viridiplantae; Streptophyta; Magnoliopsida; Malpighiales; Euphorbiaceae. The record is from RNAcentral.
GGGGAAGAAGGGCGGUGGGGUGGGGGGAGGCGGUGGGUUUGGGUUGUGGCGUGGGGUGGAUGCUAACAUGGUGAAGCACAUUGAGGAGUAACCCAAAGUUAGUAUUCAAAAGUUUUUCUCCAUCACUGAGCUUAUAAAUCAGUACCAUAAAACAAAAACAGAAAUGCCAACAUUGUUUCUUUUUCUCCCUCAAUAAAAUUUCUAUGCAUACUCUACCACAAUUGACAUUGACACAGGAGACACCAAGACAAAUUCAAAUUAGCACCCACAUUAAUCUUUAAAUUCAACUUA